RNAcentral lists this ribosomal RNA (440 nucleotides) under uncultured bacterium. RNAcentral's name for it is "partial 16S ribosomal RNA". It matches the Rfam family "Bacterial small subunit ribosomal RNA", at positions 338 to 795 of the family's 1533-position model. The record is from RNAcentral.
CCUACGGGAGGCAGCAGUAGGGAAUAUUGCUCAAUGGGGGCAACCCUGAAGCAGCAACGCCGCGUGGAGGAUGAAGGUUUUCGGAUUGUAAACUCCUUUUGUUAGAGAAGAUAAUGACGGUAUCUAACGAAUACUCACCGGCUAACUCCGUGCCAGCAGCCGCGGUACUACGGAGGGUGCAAGCGUUACUCGGAGUCACUGGGCGUAAAGAGCGCGUAGGCGGGAGAGCAAGUCAGAUGUGAAAUCCCAUGGCUUAACCAUAGAACUGCAUUUGAAACUGUUAUUCUAGAGUAUGGUAGAGGUAGGUGGAAUUCUUGGUGUAGGGGUAAAAUCCGUAGAGAUCAAGAAGAAUACUCAUUGCGAAGGCGACCUGCUAGAACAUAACUGACGCUGAUGCGCGAAAGCGUGGGGAGCAAACAGGAUUAGAUACCCCGGUAGUC